This is a small nucleolar RNA of Apodemus sylvaticus (European woodmouse), 132 nucleotides long. RefSeq annotates it as small nucleolar RNA SNORA17. NCBI's taxonomy places the organism in Eukaryota, Metazoa, Chordata, Mammalia, Rodentia, Muridae. The transcript has a single exon. The record is from RefSeq and is a predicted model, not a curated record.
CCUGCCCCUAGAGGCAUUGCAGGUGUGGCUGCUAUGUCACAUGUGAGCCAGUAGGGGGCAGAGAGGAGUAAGGCUAUGUCAUUGCUCAGCGUUUUGGCCUCAGAACAUCUGAAUGAAUAGUAGCCUAACACC